GAAACGUGAUAGUUAAUGUGAAUUGCAGAAUUCAGUGAAUCAUCGAGUCUUUGAACGCACAUUGCGCCCAUAGGUAUUCCUUUGGGCAUGUCUGUUUGAGCGUCAUUACAACCCUCAGCUAACCGCUGGUUUUGAACCUGAACGGGUGACACCGCGCCGGUUUUAAAGUUGUAAGCUCUGCUGGCCGCUCUGCCCAACCAGAACAUAGUAAGCACUACUUGUCCGGGUGAAGCUGAACGGUACGGCCUGAACAAAACCUACCCACUCUCAAGGUUUGACCUCAGAUCAGACAAGGAUACCCGCUGAACUUAAGC
RNAcentral lists this unclassified non-coding RNA (314 nucleotides) under plant metagenome. RNAcentral's name for it is "partial contains 5.8S ribosomal RNA, internal transcribed spacer 2, and large subunit ribosomal RNA". The stretch from base 1 to 105 matches the Rfam family "5.8S ribosomal RNA", at positions 50 to 154 of the family's 154-position model. The record is from RNAcentral.